AUCCAGCUGAUGAGUCUCAAAUAGGACGAAACGCACGUCUAGGAU
This 45-nucleotide non-coding RNA is filed under the name Schistosoma curassoni. Lineage: Eukaryota; Metazoa; Platyhelminthes; Trematoda; Strigeidida; Schistosomatidae. The record is from RNAcentral.